This 307-nucleotide ribosomal RNA is filed under the name uncultured bacterium. RNAcentral's name for it is "bacterial SSU rRNA". It matches the Rfam family "Bacterial small subunit ribosomal RNA", at positions 28 to 334 of the family's 1533-position model. The record is from RNAcentral.
GAUGAACGCUAGCGGCAGGCUUAACACAUGCAAGUCGAGGGGUAACGAUGGCUUCGGCCAGUCGACGACCGGCGCACGGGUGAGUAACGCGUAUGCAACCUACCUUCAACAGGGGGAUAGCCCAGGGAAACUUGGAUUAAUAUCCCAUAGUUCAGAUGAAUCGCAUGGUUUAUUUGAUAAAGUUCCGGCGGUUGAAGAUGGGCAUGCGUGCCAUUAGAUAGUUGGUAAGGUAACGGCUUACCAAGUCGACGAUGGCUACGGGGUCUUAAAGGAUGGUCCCGCACACUGGUACUGAGACACGGACCAG